RNAcentral lists this ribosomal RNA (465 nucleotides) under uncultured Selenomonas sp. RNAcentral describes it as "bacterial SSU rRNA". It matches the Rfam family "Bacterial small subunit ribosomal RNA", at positions 338 to 795 of the family's 1533-position model. Lineage: Bacteria; Bacillati; Bacillota; Negativicutes; Selenomonadales; Selenomonadaceae. The record is from RNAcentral.
CCUACGGGUGGCAGCAGUGGGGAAUCUUCCGCAAUGGGCGCAAGCCUGACGGAGCAACGCCGCGUGAGUGAAGAAGGUCUUCGGAUCGUAAAGCUCUGUUGAUGGGGACGAACGUGCGUGAUGCGAAUAGUGUCAUGCAAUGACGGUACCUAUCGAGGAAGCCACGGCUAACUACGUGCCAGCAGCCGCGGUAAUACGUAGGUGGCGAGCGUUGUCCGGAAUCAUUGGGCGUAAAGGGAGCGCAGGCGGGCAUGUAAGUCUUUCUUAAAAGUUCGGGGCUCAACCCCGUGAUGGGAAAGAAACUAUGUGUCUUGAGUACAGGAGAGGAAAGCGGAAUUCCCAGUGUAGCGGUGAAAUGCGUAGAUAUUGGGAGGAACACCAGUGGCGAAGGCGGCUUUCUGGACUGCAACUGACGCUGAGGCUCGAAAGCCAGGGGAGCGAACGGGAUUAGAUACCCCAGUAGUC